This 253-nucleotide ribosomal RNA is filed under the name uncultured bacterium. RNAcentral's name for it is "partial 16S ribosomal RNA". It matches the Rfam family "Bacterial small subunit ribosomal RNA", at positions 524 to 776 of the family's 1533-position model. The record is from RNAcentral.
UACGUAGGGUGCAAGCGUUAAUCGGAAUUACUGGGCGUAAAGCGUGCGCAGGCGGUUUUGUAAGUCUGUCGUGAAAGCCCCGGGCUCAACCUGGGAAUUGCGAUGGAGACUGCAAGGCUUGAAUCUGGCAGAGGGGGGUAGAAUUCCACGUGUAGCAGUGAAAUGCGUAGAGAUGUGGAGGAACACCGAUGGCGAAGGCAGCCCCCUGGGUCAAGAUUGAAGCUCAUGCACGAAAGCGUGGGGAGCAACCAGG